GUCAGGAUAGCUCAGUUGGUAGAGCAGAGGACUGGA
Molecule: transfer RNA, 36 nt
Filed under: Elymus sibiricus
Lineage: Eukaryota; Viridiplantae; Streptophyta; Magnoliopsida; Poales; Poaceae
Description: partial tRNA-Phe
Source: RNAcentral